Nitrospinae bacterium RIFCSPLOWO2_12_39_16 is the source of this 73-nucleotide non-coding RNA. The record is from Rfam. Lineage: Bacteria; Pseudomonadati; Nitrospinota.
GCGGGAAUAGCUCAGUUGGUAGAGCAUCAGCCUUCCAAGCUGAGGGUCGCGGGUUCGAAUCCCGUUUCCCGCU